GUAGGUGGCAAGCGUUGUCCGGAAUUAUUGGGCGUAAAGCGCGCGCGGGCGGUUCUUUAAGUCUGAUGUGAAAGCCCACGGCUCAACCGUGGAGGGUCAUUGGAAACUGGAGAACUUGAGUACAGAAGAGGAAAGCGGAAUUCCGCGUGUAGCGGUGAAAUGCGUAGAGAUGUGGAGGAACACCAGUGGCGAAGGCGGCUUUCUGGUCUGUAACUGACGCUGAGGCGCGAAAGCGUGGGGAGCAAACAGGGAUUAGAUACCCUGGUAGUCCACGCCGUAAACGAUGAGUGCUAAGUGUUAGGGGGUUUCCCGCCCCUUAGUGCUGCAGCUAACGCAUUAAGCACUCCGCCUGGGGAGUACGGACGCAAGGCUG
This 373-nucleotide ribosomal RNA is filed under the name uncultured organism. RNAcentral's name for it is "partial 16S ribosomal RNA". It matches the Rfam family "Bacterial small subunit ribosomal RNA", at positions 527 to 896 of the family's 1533-position model. The record is from RNAcentral.